Molecule: ribosomal RNA, 180 nt
Filed under: Cryptosphaeria pullmanensis
Lineage: Eukaryota; Fungi; Ascomycota; Sordariomycetes; Xylariales; Diatrypaceae
Description: 5.8S ribosomal RNA
Rfam family: 5.8S ribosomal RNA (bases 7-160)
About the family: 5.8S ribosomal RNA (5.8S rRNA) is a component of the large subunit of the eukaryotic ribosome. It is transcribed by RNA polymerase I as part of the 45S precursor that also contains 18S and 28S rRNA. Functionally, it is thought that 5.8S rRNA may be involved in ribosome translocation.
Source: RNAcentral
AGUUAAAACUUUCAACAACGGAUCUCUUGGUUCUGGCAUCGAUGAAGAACGCAGCGAAAUGCGAUAAGUAAUGUGAAUUGCAGAAUUCAGUGAAUCAUCGAAUCUUUGAACGCACAUUGCGCCCAUUAGUAUUCUAGUGGGCAUGCCUGUUCGAGCGUCAUUUCAACCCUCAAGCCCUAG